Fragaria vesca subsp. vesca is the source of this 853-nucleotide RNA transcript. RefSeq lists it as uncharacterized. The record is from RefSeq and is a predicted model, not a curated record. The transcript is spliced from 2 exons. NCBI's taxonomy places the organism in Eukaryota, Viridiplantae, Streptophyta, Magnoliopsida, Rosales, Rosaceae.
AAGCCCGAACUCGGGUGUUGACCCGAGUUUGCCUCUCUCCUCUCCUUGCUCGUCUUCUCCGGCGACUUCGCUAUGGAGCAACGCCGUCCGGUCUCCGUGCACCACCUAACCACCAUCGAUUUCUUCUCUCUUCAUUUUCUACAAAACCCAAUCCUUAAAUCCAUUGUUAGAGCUAGACCUGAAGAGAUCGGAUUCAAGGUUCUCAACUGUGUUCAUUGAUUUCUGGCGUGCUCCGGCAGCGACGACGAUAGCGAGGGUCUCCGGCGAAGGUUUCUGGCGUCUCCCUCCUCUUCUCGGCGUCUCCUCUUUCUCUUGGAGACUAAAAUGAACACGAAGGGAGGCUAGAAGGGCUGUUGUCGUUGUGUUGGAGGAAACCCAAUCCCAAAAUCCGGCAAGGAAGCUACUGCCGGCUAGAGGGGCUUGGUUUCUCGGUUGAAGUGAUAGGAACGGGAGCAGAAGAAGAACUUGAUCAUGGAGUAGUGAUUAUUGGUAAAAUAAAUUUGGGUGCGGAAUUUCGAAAGCAAGAAUUAGGGGUAUGCUGCUGUGUUAGUUUUGGGUAUUAGUAAUUGAUUCAUAGUUUGAAUUGUUGCUGAUAAUGGUUAUGAAUUUGAGGAAGGGCAGAAAGGAAUGUUGGACGAGCCAAGGAAGUGUAAUUGUAGCAAAGGUGGUUUGUGAGUGUAAAGAUAAAUUCUUGGGUGUAGAGAGUAAUCUGGUUGCAGCCCUUUCGCAAUUAAUAAUAAGGUGAAUCCCUUGGCUUCUAUUGUUACUCUAAAGUGUUUAGUGUUUUUCGAUUUGGAGUAUCUUGUAUUAGUAUUGAGAUGUUAAAGAAUGGGAAUUAAGGGAUUUGUUAUUC